Molecule: small RNA, 125 nt
Filed under: Marmota monax (woodchuck)
Lineage: Eukaryota; Metazoa; Chordata; Mammalia; Rodentia; Sciuridae
Source: RNAcentral
GCUGGGUGUGGUAGCACAUGCCUGUAAUCCCAGCAGCUUGGGAAGCUGAGGCAGGAGUAUUGCAGGUUCAAAGUUAACCUCAGCAAUGGCAAGGUGCUAAACAACUCAGUGAGACCCUGUCUCUA